RNAcentral lists this ribosomal RNA (99 nucleotides) under uncultured bacterium. RNAcentral describes it as "partial 16S ribosomal RNA". It matches the Rfam family "Bacterial small subunit ribosomal RNA", at positions 1386 to 1482 of the family's 1533-position model. The record is from RNAcentral.
CACACCGCCCGUCACGCCAUGGAAGCUCGGAGCGCCCGAAGUCGGUGUCGGAACUCGCAAGAGACCAAGCCGCCGAAGGCGAGCCGGGUGACUGGGGCG